Homo sapiens (human) is the source of this 1293-nucleotide long non-coding RNA. RefSeq lists it as uncharacterized. NCBI's taxonomy places the organism in Eukaryota, Metazoa, Chordata, Mammalia, Primates, Hominidae. The transcript has 2 exons. The record is from RefSeq and is a predicted model, not a curated record.
GAGGGGGAGACGCCUCUGGGGAGACGUCCAAGGUGGAGCCAGCGGAGAGAGAGGCGUGGAGGCCGGUGCCUGCGGGUUUGGCCUGGGCAGCGGGAGUGUGGAGGGACUGUUUCCUGGAGCGGGAAAGGCGAAGGGGCUGGUUGCGGUGAAUGUGGGGCUGGGAAGGCCAGCUGGCUCCCUGGACAUGCGGGAAAGUGAAGAGAGAGGCUCCCAGGAGAGGGUGGUCCGGGGACAUGGCGUUGGGCACCCCUGCUGGCACUGGAGGAGGCACCAGGGAGAAAGUGUUGUUGGAGCUGAGGACAAAUCAAGCAGCCCGCCCGGACGGUGGCCGCAUUUGCUGAACAUUUGGAAUUCCAGGAAAGGGCCGGGGGCCUGGAGGAGGACCCAGGUGAGUAGCCUGAGGCCAGAGAGCAGUAGGAACCUGUGGCCUCCCAACCCUUGUCUUCUCCUGCAAAGAACAGAGGAUUGGGAUUCACGCCAGAAGGUACAGAAAUGGCCAACACAGACGAGAUGCCUCAAGUCUAGGUUAUGCGCAUGGAAUCACAUGGUAUCAUUCCUCAUUUCUGGAGUAAAAGGCAAGAAUACUGACAACAAGCAGUGCCGGGCAGCUGUGGGACAGGUGGAGCCCCCAUGGACCCUGCUUCUGGCGUGCAGUUUGUCAAUAUGACACUCAAAAUUCUGCGGAAGCUUUGAUCCAGUGACUUACCUCGAAUAAUUUAUCUUCAUUUUUUAAAAUUUAUUUAUUUAUUGAGACAGGGUCUCGCUCUGCCACCCAGGCUGGAGUGCAGUAGCACGAUCGCAGCUCACUGCAGCCUUGACCUCCGGACUCAAGCAAUCCUCCUGCCUCAGCAUCCCUCAAAUAGUGCAACCACAGGUGUGCACCAACACACCCAGCUACUUUUUAAAUUUUUUUGGAAAGAUGGGGUCUCACUAUGUUGCCCAGGCUGAAUUUAUCUUUAAAGGGCACGAAUAAGAUGAGUGGACAAAGAAGACCCAGUUAUGUCAUGGGGAAACCUGGAAGCCACCCCAAGAGCACAGCUUUGCAAGUGGAUGAGAGUUCCAAUCUCAGCCCAGCUGUGUGAUUCUGGGCAACUGUCCUAACCUCUCUGAACUUCAGUUUCCUCAUCUGUAAGGUGGGAAUAAUGGCAAUACCCAACCCCUCCAGGGCCGUCUGAGGAAGACAUAAGACUACAUGGGUAGAAUGCUUACCUUUAGGCACACAAGAGACAAUUUAUAUAAAGGAAAAAGUUGGUGGUCCCAUAUGAUGGAUUAUUAAACAGCUUUACAAAUAAA